GUUAUAAUUGUACAUGGCUUAGAAGUUAAGAGUAAAUACUGCUUUCUUAAUUAUGAUUUUUGAGUAAAUGUUUUUUUCCGAGCUCCGCAUGUGGACGUCAUGACGUCAUGACGUCUUCUCUCUAACCUGAACGACGUUGACAGAAAAUUCUGUUCAAUAUGGCUGCCCUUCUCGAGCGACUGGAGAACACAUUUGGAGAAACUUGCUGAAGGCCAAAGACAAAAAGACAGAAGAAAAAAAAAUUCAGACUGCAAUUAAUUUCAGGUGGAGACAGUAAACACAGGAGGCGCCUGAUAUCAACGUGAAACGCACUGCAGUACUUCGUGCCCUUCCUGUAUACCUGCGGGAGGAGGACCCAGAAUUCUUUUAGACAUGUAAUGCGGACGCAUUGGAUGAGUCGACCCUCAUUGACACUCCAGUUGCCCUUCUCACAGUGGUUACCGACGGCGCUUCCCAGUCCAGUCCAUUUUACUUCCUCAAGCAUGGCUGUUUUGGUGAAAGGUGACUAGGUGAUGCGUGAUAUUCCCAGAUUUGCAAAUGCAUUUGCUUUAUUGUUUGGCUUGAUCUAUGCUCUGCAUUUAGACUACCCCAGGAAGCUGGUUCACACAUUUGCCUUAGUCCAAAAUAUCUUCAUGGGGCUUGAUGACGGCAAACCCCUGAAACCCCUGCCUACAUGCUCUUAAGGAAUAUAAGGCAAUGUUUGUUAGGACACGCACUCUGUUACUGAGCACUUUGUUUGAAGCACUUUAAGCACUUUAAGUUUACUACAGGCUUUGGGUGGAUUUAACUCCAUCAGUUUACCUAAUUUUCCUAUACUUGACUGCCUUAUCUGGUUAUUUGGAAGCUGAUCAUCUUUGUACCC
This is a long non-coding RNA of Astatotilapia calliptera (eastern happy), 862 nucleotides long. NCBI's taxonomy places the organism in Eukaryota, Metazoa, Chordata, Actinopteri, Cichliformes, Cichlidae. The record is from Ensembl.